Non-coding RNA from Paramuricea clavata, 244 nucleotides. The record is from the annotation of a GenBank genome assembly. Lineage: Eukaryota; Metazoa; Cnidaria; Anthozoa; Malacalcyonacea; Plexauridae.
UAUACAAUAUUUUUCGAUAAUGCUCACAAUUUUUUUCUUAUUAUAUAGUUUUGCAGUUCUUCCUGAGUACAAUUUUACAAUGAAUGGUGUCAUCUGAAGCGGACAUAUUAAACAAAAAUGUCAACAAAUAGCAGAUUGUUCGGUUGUUCUGCAAUAGGGGUAGCCUUGAAGGUGCCAUUAAAACGAUAACUGGGACAAAAAAUGGCUUAGUAUUUCUAUAUAUGAUAUUCUGCAGUAUUCAGUG